GCCAAACCUUCUAGUCGUUCUGUGUUAGUCCAUCUUCUCCUUGAUGAGUCCUCCCUUCCUAAUCUUCGAGCUUUGCAUUUUGUCGAACACCUUCCAGUCACCGCAAUUCAUCUCCCGCCACCCUAUGACCUUAAUUCGAAGACCAUGAAAUGUUCAAAACGAAUCAAACUCCUCAAAUCUUCAAUCUUCCCCACCCUCCCGCCUCUCUCUCCUCUCUCCUUCUCCACCCACCACUCAAACCAACUCCUCGAACCAUUCCAAAACCCUAAACCCCCCAUCCCUCCAUCCAAAUCCCGACUCUAUGCUUCCUUUUUCUCCUCUCUAAUCGAAAUCUAUCUAACAUGCACUCGUUUCUCUCAAGCGGCGGAGACAUUUACUAACAUGAGAAGCAUCGGACUGAACCCGCCGAUAAAUUCAUGGAACCGCCUUCUCUUCAAGUUCAAUUCAUCGGGUUUUCUCUCCCAGGUACCAAUCAUCUACUCGGAACUGCUUAAUUGCCAUGAAAAAGCCGAUGUCUUUGCAAGCAAUGUGAUGAUUCAUGCUCUGUGUAAAAUGCGUUUGAUUGAAAGAGCGGUAGAAUUGCUUAGGGAAGUUGAGACUGAUACCGUAAGCUAUAAUACGGUCAUUUGGGGGUUUUGCGAGCAUGGAAUGGUGGAAUCUGCGGUCGCAUUUUUGGCUGAGAUGAUUAAAAAGAGUGUCAGGUUUGACACGAUUGGUUGUAAUAUACUCGUUAAGGGAUUUUUUCGAGUAGGAUUGGUGGAUGAUGCUGAACAGAUGAUGAAGACGUUUAUUCGAGCAGGAUUUGGUAGGGAUAUCGUUGGGUUUAAUACUUUGAUUGAUGGGUAUUGCAAGCUGGGAUGGGUGAGUGAGGCUGCUACUCUGUUGGAAACUAUGAAGGAUGAAGAGGUUUCACCUGACAUUGUUACCUAUAAUUCUCUGAUUCAUGGAUUCUGUAAGACUGAAGAGUUUGAUUUGGCAAAGAGUCUGAUGGAUGAGAUUGGUCAGAAUUCAGAGUUGAAUGUUGUUACAUUCACUACAUUAAUAAGUUCAUAUUGUAAACAUGGAUGGCUGGAAGAAUCAUUCUUCUUGUUUGAAGAAAUGGUUCGGAAGGGCAUCUUACCAGAUAUUGUUGCUUACACGACUCUCCUGAAUGGUCUCUGCAAAAAUGGCGAACUUUCCAAGGGCUAUAAACUUUUCAGGGAGAUGGAGAUGGUCGGCAUUUUUCCUAACCACGUCUCGUACGCCAGUUUAGCCGAUUCAUUAUUCAAAUCAGGAAAACUGACAGACUUAUCUAUUCUAUUCAGGGAGAUGAUUGUUAGAGGUAUUUCAAUGGAUUUGAUUUCAUACAAUACUUUCAUGGAUGGAUUCUUCAAAGCUGGAAAGGUUGAUGAAGCUGAAGACAUGUUUAGAAUGAUCUUGUCCUGCUAUCUUCUUCCCAAUCAUAUCUCCUACACUGUGUUGAUUGAUGGGCGCUGCAAGACUGGAGAUAUUAUUGGUGCAGAACUGGCAUUCAUUGAAAUGGGAAGGAAGUCCAUUGGUGCAAAUGUGGUUACCAACUCUUCUAUCAUCAAUGGCUAUGUUAAAAUGAGAAUGCUGGAUAAGGCGAUUGGUGUUUUAAGGAAGAUGAAAGAAGAAAACAUACAUCCAAAUGCUGUCACUUAUGCAACACUCAUUAAUGGCUUAUCCAAGAUGAGAAGACAUGAAGAGGCUCUUGAUUUGUGUAGAGAGAUGAUAGAGGAAGGCCUGGAGGCCAACCAUUUCAUGUGUGAUGUUUUGUUUAAUGUAUUGAGGAGAAACAAUAGGAUGAAGGAGGCGGAAGGAGUAUUUGGAAAGAUGAUAGUUAAGGGACUGUUGCCUGAUCAUGUUAAUUUCACCUCUAUGAUGGAUGGAUUUUUUAAAGUGGGGAAUGAAUCAGCUGCUCUGGAAAUUGGACUGGAAUUGAUGGAAAGAAAGUUAGGCCUUGAUGUUGUUGUUUAUAACGGCUAUAUAAACCGUCUCUACUUGGCCGGGAAGUCUCAAGAAGCAAAAUCCAUUGUCGCACAAGUGAAAAGCAUGGGUUUGAAUCUAGAUCACGCUACAUACAACAUUAUGAUAGGCGCGUAUUGCAGAAAGGGGAGUCUCAAUAAGGCACUUAAAGUUUUUAGCGAAAUGAAGAGUCUUGGAGUUAUGCCUAAUAUCAUCACUUACGAAAUUUUGAUUCCGUCGCUAUGUGUGGUAGGAGAUGUAGAGAAGGGAAUGGAAUUGUUGAACGAGAUGGCACUUGCCGGAUUUCACCCGAGUGCAUCAACUCACAAGAAAGUGCUGCGAGCAUGUUCUAAAUGGAAGAGAGCUGAUUUAAUAUUGCAGUUCCACCAACAGAUGAUCUAUGCAGGGCUUGAUCUUAGCAUAUUGAUAUAUAAUACACUCAUGCAUAUCUUUUGCGUUCUUGGUAUGACACGAAGAGCUACGCAGGUUCUGAACGAAAUGCUCGAACGCGGGAUACAAGCAGAUACAAUUACCUUUAACUCUUUCAUCGAGGGACAUUGCAAAAGCGGCCAUUUUGAUAAAGCCCUCGCUUUAUAUUAUCAGAUGCUUCGUGAUGGGGUAUCCCCAAAUAUUACUACCUACAAUAGUUUAUUGGACGGGCUUUCUAAUGCUGGGAGGAUUACAGAAUCGGAGAUGAUAAUCAAUGAGAUGAAGAAGAAGGAAUUUGAGCCAAACUGUGUUACUUAUACCAUUCUUGUAUCUGGAUAUGCAAGGAAAAGUUAUGUUAAGGAAGCUAUAAGGCUAUAUUGGAACAUGGUGAGGAAAGGCUUUAUACCUACGGUAGGUACAUAUAAUGUUCUAAUGAGCGAGUUUGUGAAGAUGGGAAUGUUUAAACAAGUUAUUGAAUUGUGGAAUGAAAUGCAAAAGAGAGGUAUUUCCCCUAAUUGUUCAACAUAUGACAUGUUAAUUACAGUUUGGGCAAAGCUAUCCAAUGGUUUUGAGGUUGCUAAAUUGCUUAAGGAGAUGGAAGAUAAAGGUUUUAUUCCUUCUGAAAGUACUCUUCAUUUAAUCAGUAGAUCCUUUGCAAAAUUAGGGAAGAGGAGAGAAGCGUUGAAGUUUCUCAAAAGGAAGGGCUCAAAUUUGUGCAGUCUGAUCCAUUUAUGACAAGCUAUCACUUCUGUGCUAAGGUGGGCUUGUGGCUUCUGAUUGCUCUUCCUUUUAACUAGCUUCAUUUCAGCUAAAAGUACAAGCUACUCUGAGCAAGCAGACUUCACUUUCUGUCAGCUGAUGCAAUGGAGAUAAUGAAAUUAUUUUCGUAUUCUGUUUGGAGCUUGUACAGUGACGGAUUGCUGUAGAUAUGUUGGCUAAAAAGCAGCUGUGAGAUAAAUGAAGACUGCUUUCAGAUAGAACAUUAUAUUUUAAUAGAAAGCACAAAUGAGCUUCAAAAUUUGUAUAUGAAUCAGAUUCCUCCACAGUAUGCUGAAGAUGGGGUAAGCUAUUAUGUGAUAAUAAGACUACAAUCAAUAUUGCUCCCAGCCCAGUUCAGCUUGAUCGUACCAAACAUGUAGAGAUCGACAAACACUUCAUUAAGGAAAUGAUCGAGUUCAGGGAGAUUUGUGUUCUAUAUGUACCCUCCAGUGGCUAACUAUUGGACUUCCUCACCAAGAAUUUGCCUCGCUCUUGAGUGACAUCUAUUAAUCAACUUGAGGGGGAGUAUUAUAUUAUAAAGGUCAUCCCUACGUCAUUAUUACUUAUUAUUUGACUUUAUUUCCUGAUUAUA
RNA transcript from Phalaenopsis equestris, 3745 nucleotides. It is a transcript of the gene named pentatricopeptide repeat-containing protein At5g14770, mitochondrial, with no coding region annotated. NCBI's taxonomy places the organism in Eukaryota, Viridiplantae, Streptophyta, Magnoliopsida, Asparagales, Orchidaceae. The record is from RefSeq and is a predicted model, not a curated record. The transcript has 5 exons.